Non-coding RNA from Paramuricea clavata, 120 nucleotides. The record is from the annotation of a GenBank genome assembly. Lineage: Eukaryota; Metazoa; Cnidaria; Anthozoa; Malacalcyonacea; Plexauridae.
AAGGUUGUUCUAACAAGUCUGAUACAGUCAUGAUAUAACAAGAACGUUACAAGGUUGACGACACAAGGUUGUAACAUUAUUGUUAUAUCAUGACUGUAUCGGACUUGUUAGAACAACCUU